Molecule: transfer RNA, 75 nt
Filed under: Streptomyces anandii
Lineage: Bacteria; Bacillati; Actinomycetota; Actinomycetes; Kitasatosporales; Streptomycetaceae
Also listed under: 52 other names
Description: tRNA-Val
Rfam family: tRNA
About the family: Transfer RNA (tRNA) molecules are approximately 80 nucleotides in length. Their secondary structure includes four short double-helical elements and three loops (D, anti-codon, and T loops).
Source: RNAcentral
GGGUGCGUAGCUCAGCGGUAGAGCGCCUGCCUUACAAGCAGGAUGUCGGCGGUUCGAAACCGUCCGCGCCCACCA